Molecule: small RNA, 89 nt
Filed under: Salix viminalis (osier)
Lineage: Eukaryota; Viridiplantae; Streptophyta; Magnoliopsida; Malpighiales; Salicaceae
Source: RNAcentral
UUAGGUAUGUGAAAAUCCAACUUUAUGACAAUGGUCCUUGACAAUUAUCCAGUUAUCCAGUGAAUAUGCAAAGCACGGAAUUAGACUAG